GUCGAGCGGACAGAAGGGAGCUUGCUCCCGGAUGUUAGCGGCGGACGGGUGAGUAACACGGGGUAACCUGCCUGUAAGACUGGGAUAACUCCGGGAAACCGGAGCUAAUACCGGAUAGUUCCUUGAACCGCAUGGUUCAAGGAUGAAAGACGGUUUCGGCUGUCACUUACAGAUGGACCGCGGCGCAUUAGCUAGUUGGUGAGGUAACGGCUCACCAAGGCGACGAUGCGUAGCCGACCUGAGAGGGUGAUCGGCCACACUGGGACUGAGACACGGCCCAGACUCCUACGGGAGGCAGCAGUAGGGAAUCUUCCGCAAUGGACGAAAGUCUGACGGAGCAACGCCGCGUGAGUGAUGAGGUUUUCGGAUCGUAAAGCUCUGUUGUUAGGGAAGAACAAGUGCAAGAGUAACUGCUUGCACCUUGACGGUACCUAACCAGGAAGCCACGGCUAACUACGUGCCAGCAGCCGCGGUAAUCGUAGGUGGCAAGCGUUGUCCGGAAUUAUUGGGCGUAAAGGGCUCGCAGGCGGUUUCUUAAGUCUGAUGUGAAAGCCCCCGGCUCAACCGGGAAGGGUCAUUGGAAACUGGGAAACUUGAGUGCAGAAGAGGAGAGUGGAAUUCCACGUGUAGCGGUGAAAUGCGUAGAGAUGUGGAGGACACCAGUGGCGAAGGCGACUCUCUGGUCUGUAACUGACGCUGAGGAGCGAAGGCGUGGAGCGAACAGGAUUAGAUACCCUGGUAGUCCACGCCGUAAACGAUGAGUGCUAAGUGUAGGGGGUUUCCGCCCCUUAGUGCUGCAGCUAACGCAUUAAGCACUCCGCCUGGGGAGUACGGUCGCAAGACUGAAACUCAAAGGAAUUGACGGGGGCCCGCACAAGCGGUGGAGCAUGUGGUUUAAUUCGAAGCAACGCGAAGAACCUUACCAGGUCUUGACAUCCUCUGACAACCCUAGGAUAAGGCUUUCCCUUCGGGGACAGAGUGACAGGUGGUGCAUGGUUGUCGUCAGCUCGUUCGUGAGAUGUUAGGUUAAGUCCCGCAACGAGCGCAACCCUUGAUCUUAGUUGCCAGCAUUCAGUUGGGCACUCUAAGGUGACUGCCGGUGACAAACCGGAGGAAGGUGGGGAUGACGCAAAUCAUCAUGCCCCUUAUGACCUAGGCUACACACGUGCUACAAUGGACAGAACAAAGGGCUGCGAGACCGCAAGGUUUAGCCAAUCCCACAAAUCUGUUCUCAGUUCGGAUCGCAGUCGCAACUCGACUGCGUGAAGCUGGAAUCGCUAGUAAUCGCGGAUCAGCAUGCCGCGGUGAUACGUUCCCAGGCCUUGUACACACCGCCCGUCACACCACGAGAGUUUGCAACACCCGAAGUCGGUGAGGUAACCUUUAUGGA
Molecule: ribosomal RNA, 1390 nt
Filed under: Bacillus subtilis
Lineage: Bacteria; Bacillati; Bacillota; Bacilli; Caryophanales; Bacillaceae
Description: bacterial SSU rRNA
Rfam family: Bacterial small subunit ribosomal RNA
Source: RNAcentral